RNAcentral lists this ribosomal RNA (206 nucleotides) under Salmonella enterica subsp. enterica serovar Oslo. RNAcentral describes it as "partial 16S ribosomal RNA". It matches the Rfam family "Bacterial small subunit ribosomal RNA", at positions 1328 to 1533 of the family's 1533-position model. Lineage: Bacteria; Pseudomonadati; Pseudomonadota; Gammaproteobacteria; Enterobacterales; Enterobacteriaceae. The record is from RNAcentral.
UGACUCGCUAUUAAUCGUUGAUCAGAAUGCCACGGUGAAUACGUUCCCGGUCCGUGUACACACCGCCCGUCAAACCAUGUGAGUGGUUUGCAAAAGAAGUAGGUAGCUUAACCUUCGUGAGGGCGCUUACCACUUUGUUAUUCAUGACUGUGGUGAAGUCGUAACAAGGUAACCGUAGGGUAACCUGCUGUUUGAUCACCUCCUUA